Quercus robur (English oak) is the source of this 1763-nucleotide RNA transcript. It is a transcript of the gene named probable protein phosphatase 2C 10, with no coding region annotated. The transcript is spliced from 7 exons. Lineage: Eukaryota; Viridiplantae; Streptophyta; Magnoliopsida; Fagales; Fagaceae. The record is from RefSeq and is a predicted model, not a curated record.
GCUCUGCUAAGUGUCAGCCUUUUUUUCUCUUUUACUUGUAAAUAAUAAUAUCUUUCUCAUUGGCAAGUCUCCUCCAAACGGUUCUAAAAAAAAUCAUCACCUCCAUAAAGAAACACAUAGCUCUCCUUCGAUUCCUUCGUCUCUCAAGUCACAAACUUUUUUUUUCUUUUAAGAAAAAAGCUUGUGUGUGAGCUAAAACAACAAGAGGAGCAAGCAUAAAAAUCACAGCCAAAACAACAAAGUUCAGCCAUUUUUGGCUUUCAGUUGGAUCGUUUGUGAAAUUGGGGAGGUGGGUUUGGUUUGAAAUCUGGGUUGGAGGUGGCUACAGGGGUUGGAUGUUGAAAUUUUAGUUGAAGGAGUUGAAGUGGCUGUUCAAUUUCCUUUUAUGGAUAGGCUCUGCUGUUUUAGUGGUUCCUACUCUAAGCUUGUAGGAGGGCGUUCCUCAUCUAGCUCUGGCAAAGGGAAAAGCCAUGAAGGGUUAAUCAAGUUUGGUUUCAGCCUAGUAAAAGGGAAAGCUAAUCAUCCCAUGGAGGAUUACCAUGUUGCUAAAUUUAUGCAGAGUGAGGGACAUGAAUUAGGACUAUUUGCUAUCUAUGAUGGCCAUUUGGGAGAUACUGUUCCUUCCUACCUACAGAAACAUUUGUUUUCCAAUAUCCUAAAGGAGGAAGAAUUUUGGGUUGACCCCAACAGAUCUAUCUCAAAAGCCUAUGAGAAGACAGACCAGGCAAUUCUCUCUCACAGUUCUGACUUGGGGCGGGGUGGGUCCACAGCCGUAACUGCAAUUUUGAUAAAUGGCCAAAAAUUAUGGGUAGCCAAUGUUGGAGAUUCACGAGCAGUUCUCUCAAAAGGGGGCCAGGCAAUACAGAUGUCUAUAGACCAUGAGCCCAACACCGAGCGAGGCAGCAUCGAGAACAAAGGCGGUUUUGUCUCAAACAUGCCAGUCCACUGGGGCACUUCAGAAAAAUACGAGGAGUUCACAAUCUGAUCCGUGUUGUCCAAAAUCAUAAAGGUAUUACACUAUUUUUUGUCAACAAGUAUCUGAUAGUACUGCAUCUGCUGCCCUUUGAAAGACCCACAUCUGAUGACCUUGAAUUGUGGGUUUUGCUCUAUAGUGUAACCAGGUUGAUUGGGAGAGAGGGACUUCAUUUUUUGGGGGUAUCAUGAACCUGUUGGAUGAGAUAACACAAACAGAGUGGAUAUCCUUCUUUGCUAUAAGAAGAGAAAAACAAGAAAAAUUUCCUGCAUCCAUUCAGAAGGUGAUAACUCUAUUGUCAUCAUAUGGAAUAGUUGUAGGCUUGUGGGAGUUCUCCAGUGUCUUGGGUUUGUGAUAUACAUAGUACUUAGUAUGCCCCGACUAAGGUAUUCCCAAACUGACUCUUAGAAAACGAUCUCCUAGUGAAAAUGGAUGCCCUCUGCUUUGGUGUUCCUUUGAGUUGGUAACUUGGUAUCAUACCUCAGCAUGUGGCUUAUACCUCUUGAUGACUGUGAUGCUGUUUUGUUCUUCUCCAGAGUUGUUGAUACUAGGUAAAUAUCAGAUGACACCAAAAGUUUGGGUGGUGGUCAAGAUUCAGGGCUUUCUUUCAGAAAUAGGGACUUCUAAUUCUCUAUAAGGAAGUGGGGGAUGUCCCUAGAGUCAAUGGGCAGCUGGCAGUUUCUCGUGCUUUUGGAGACAAGAGCCUCAAAUCACAUUUGCGAUCUGACCCAGACAUACAAGAGACUCUUGUAGAUGCCAAUACCGAACUUUUAAUCCUUGCCAGCGAUGG